RNAcentral lists this transfer RNA (77 nucleotides) under Peribacillus frigoritolerans. RNAcentral describes it as "[Brevibacterium] frigoritolerans tRNA-Pro". It matches the Rfam family "tRNA". From Rfam's summary of the family: Transfer RNA (tRNA) molecules are approximately 80 nucleotides in length. Their secondary structure includes four short double-helical elements and three loops (D, anti-codon, and T loops). Further hydrogen bonds mediate the characteristic L-shaped molecular structure. tRNAs have two regions of fundamental functional importance: the anti-codon, which is responsible for specific mRNA codon recognition, and the 3' end, to which the tRNAs corresponding amino acid is attached (by aminoacyl-tRNA synthetases). tRNAs cope with the degeneracy of the genetic code in two manners: having more than one tRNA (with a specific anti-codon) for a particular amino acid; and 'wobble' base-pairing, i.e. permitting non-standard base-pairing at the 3rd anti-codon position. RNAcentral also lists the same sequence under 1 other name. The record is from RNAcentral. Lineage: Bacteria; Bacillati; Bacillota; Bacilli; Caryophanales; Bacillaceae.
CGGGAAGUAGCUCAGCUUGGUAGAGCACUUGGUUUGGGACCAAGGGGUCGCAGGUUCGAAUCCUGUCUUCCUGACCA